This 528-nucleotide long non-coding RNA is filed under the name Homo sapiens (human). RNAcentral's name for it is "HSALNT0041457". The record is from RNAcentral. Lineage: Eukaryota; Metazoa; Chordata; Mammalia; Primates; Hominidae.
GCUACUUGCUCUUAAUUCACAGCACCAACCCCAUUUGGGAAGCAAUCUUCUUCUUGAUGGAUUGAGACGCAAGCUUGUUUCACACUACUUCCAAAUAAGUGUGUAGAGCCAUAUUUUUUUUAUUUUGCAUUCUGACAUAUUAUACAUUAUCAACCAGUUUUCUUCAAAAGAAAGACCUGAACCAGCAGUGUAAGAGGCUUCACAGGACAAAAGGGAUUUUAAUUUGAAGAAAGAGAGGAAGAGAGAAAAUGACAAAGGGAAGAGAACUAACGGGCGGGAAGGGUGAGAGACAAAAGGAAAAGAUAAGAGAGAAGCACAAAAGGUGGUGGCGUCUCACAGGUCAGAAGAAGCUGCGUGAUGGGAGCUGGUCUUGGACAAAGUGGCAGUGAUGAAGAUGGGAGAACAAAAAGAUGGAAAAGUUCCAGAUCAUUGAUGAUGUCAUUGAGCUAAUAAGUUAACCAUCCCUAGAGUCACUCUGCCUCAAAAUUUCUUGCUCUAUGAGAUAAUAAAAAAUCCUUGUUGCUUAGG